AUGUCGAGCUCGUCUUCAGCUGGUUCAGACGACGGAGGUAGCACCGAAACAAUUCAGCGCGAGGUGCGUCCAGUUAGUACAGAUGGACAGCUUGCGCGACAGGGUGUUGCUCCACCUCAGAACGAUUGUAAAGCGCGUCCCGGAGACCUCGGAGGUGAGACUGAAGAAGGCGUGGCAGCCGAAAAUGCAGAAGUUUACGAUUUAACUGAAGGAUGGGGCGAGAACGACCCUGCUGAAUGUGAAGAGUUGCUGCAGGAGAUAGAACCUGAACCUGCUGGGCAUCGACUGUUCCACGCUGUAGCAUACAGGUGCGCGUGGGCUUCAUGGGACGACGAAGAUGAGGUCGACACCGUUGCAUGUAAAAGGCCGAAACUGUAUUAA
Molecule: ribosomal RNA, 381 nt
Filed under: Triticum aestivum (bread wheat)
Lineage: Eukaryota; Viridiplantae; Streptophyta; Magnoliopsida; Poales; Poaceae
Description: partial small subunit ribosomal RNA
Source: RNAcentral